Molecule: ribosomal RNA, 291 nt
Filed under: Clostridioides difficile
Lineage: Bacteria; Bacillati; Bacillota; Clostridia; Peptostreptococcales; Peptostreptococcaceae
Description: partial 23S ribosomal RNA
Rfam family: Bacterial large subunit ribosomal RNA
Source: RNAcentral
AGUGAAAUAGAACCUGAAACCCUGCACUUACAAGCUGUGGAAGCACAUUUCUUGUGUGACCGCGUACUUUUUGUAGAACGGGCCAACGAGUUACGUUAAGUAGCAAGGUUAAGCACUUAAGGUGCGGAGCCGUAGCGAAAGCGAGUUUUAACUGGGCGUUCAGUUACUUGACGUAGACCCGAAACCGGGCGACCUACCCAUGAGCAGGAUGAAGCGAAAGUAAAAUUUCGUGGAGGUCCGAACCCACGAGCGUUGAAAAGCUCGGGGAUGACUUGUGGGUAGCGGUGAAAU